CCUACGGGAGGCAGCAGUAGGGAAUCUUCCGCAAUGGGCGAAAGCCCGACGGAGCACGCCGCGUGAGUGAUGAAGGGUUUCGGCUCGUAAAACUCUGUUAUUAGGGAAGAACAAACGUGUAAGUAACUGUGCACGUCUUGACGGUACCUAAUCAGAAAGCCACGGCUAACUACGUGCCAGCAGCCGCGGUAAUACGUAGGUGGCAAGCGUUAUCCGGAAUUAUUGGGCGUAAAGCGCGCGUAGGCGGUUUCUUAAGUCUGAUGUGAAAGCCCACGGCUCAACCGUGGAGGGUCAUUGGAAACUGGGAAACUUGAGUGCAGAAGAGGAAAGUGGAAUUCCAUGUGUAGCGGUGAAAUGCGCAGAGAUAUGGAGGAACACCAGUGGCGAAGGCGACUUUCUGGUCUGUAACUGACGCUGAUGUGCGAAAGCGUGGGGAUCAAACAGGAUUAGAUACCCUGGUAGUCCACGCCGUAAACGAUGAGUGCUAAGUGUUAGGGGGUUUCCGCCCCUUAGUGCUGCAGCUAACGCAUUAAGCACUCCGCCUGGGGAGUCCGACCAAAGGUUGAAACUCAAAGGAAUUGACGG
This 585-nucleotide ribosomal RNA is filed under the name uncultured bacterium. RNAcentral describes it as "bacterial SSU rRNA". It matches the Rfam family "Bacterial small subunit ribosomal RNA", at positions 338 to 916 of the family's 1533-position model. The record is from RNAcentral.